This 404-nucleotide long non-coding RNA is filed under the name Olea europaea (common olive). RNAcentral's name for it is "long non-coding RNA (OEUR_LNC003696)". The record is from RNAcentral. Lineage: Eukaryota; Viridiplantae; Streptophyta; Magnoliopsida; Lamiales; Oleaceae.
UCGUUCUUUGGGCUAUCUGAUUUGGGGAUCCUCCAAUUGGGCUUCACUCCUUGGGCUGUCCGAUUUGGGCUGAAUUUUUAUGUGUCAACAAUUACCCCCCAAUAUGGCAGAAUUAAUAAUAAUUAUUGAAUUUUGCCAUAUUCACUUUGUGUUUCCAGCAACAUUCGAAAUUUCCAAAAAUUUCAAUCAUUGUUUCCUUCUAUAACUUGAAAAAGUGCGUCGUUUUGCAAACCCUUAUAAACCCCAAACACGCCAUUUCACUGCCACCAAACCACGCCUCAUAUUUUUUGCGUCUCUUUCACGAUUCACUGUUCAUCUUUUGCUUCCCUGCUACGUAACCCUGAAAAGCUUCGUUCCUUCUCAAAUGGCUGCUUCACAAUCUCAAGCUAGCGAUUCCUUUAGUU